UACGUAGGCAGCGGGCGUUGUUCGGAGUUACUGGGCGUAAAGGGUGUGUAGGCGGCUUUCUAAGUUUGGUGUGAAAUCUCCCGGCUCAACCGGGAGGGUGCGCCGAAAACUGGGAGGCUAGAGUGUGGGAUGGGAGAGUAGAAUUCCUGGUGUAGCGGUGAAAUGCGUAGAUAUCAGGAGGAAUACCGGUGGUGUAGACGGCUCUCUGGACCACAACUGACGCUGAAACACGAAAGCGUGGGUAGCAAACAGG
RNAcentral lists this ribosomal RNA (253 nucleotides) under uncultured bacterium. RNAcentral's name for it is "partial 16S ribosomal RNA". It matches the Rfam family "Bacterial small subunit ribosomal RNA", at positions 524 to 776 of the family's 1533-position model. The record is from RNAcentral.